UUGACAACAUGACGCUUGAUAACAGUCACAACAACACGAGCAGACUGACUUAAGUAUAAAUUCUGCAGAUGACAGCUCAGUUACAGACUCAUAAUGUCACUUAACAGCACACACUUCAGCCCAUAAACAAACAAAACAGACAAAUGCUGCGAUAAAGUGCAGGAGUGGAAGAUGUCACGCGACUCACCUAAUAAGGGAUGUUUGGACCGUUACACUCAGCCAACAGAAGCAUGUGGACAGACAUUGACUGUGAUGAUGGACAUCUGCUGAUGCACAGAAUAAGGGAUGUUUGGACCGUUACACUCAGCCAACAGAAGCAUGUGGACAGACAUUGACUGUGAUGAUGGACAUCUGCUGAUGCACAGGCAGAAGCAUAACCCCUGCUGGACAUUGUGCUGGAGCUCAGGGGGGGAUGCCAUGAUCCCCCACACCUUCUCACUCACACCAGACCAUUCACUCAUAUCGCGGAGAUCUGGUUGGACUUGAGCCAGCAACCUCUGAAACCAUGAGGCAGCGCUCUUACCACUGAGCCACAGAUCUCUUGUCUGAACAUGUGCAGGAACUUAUAUUUCACUGUCAUUUUACAAUAAACCAGAUAAAUGUAGAGCCCAUUGAGCUGGGAUUUGAACCCAUGACACCACCACAGUCCUGACUGUAAGAAACAUGUGUUUAGCCAUUAGUGCCACACUGGCUUUCACAUCAAGGACUGGCAUUUGGGCCAAUUUGUUGGAUAUAAUGCAAUACAUGAGCUUUAAUGUUAGCAAUAGUGGGGCUCGAACUCAUGACUCCAUGAUCCCAACACAACACU
Long non-coding RNA from Sinocyclocheilus rhinocerous, 808 nucleotides. RefSeq lists it as uncharacterized. The record is from RefSeq and is a predicted model, not a curated record. NCBI's taxonomy places the organism in Eukaryota, Metazoa, Chordata, Actinopteri, Cypriniformes, Cyprinidae. The transcript has 4 exons.